CGUGCUCGAUUGAAGCCGCGUCUCCACGGAAACGCAACCGCCGUGCCUCGAAAGCAUGUUCAUAUAAGCGCUAAUUUCCACAUCAAACGCUGUUUACCAACACCCGCCGUGUACGAUGAUAUUCCAGCUCGAUAGAAAAACCUACAGCCGUUCCUACCGACACGGUACGCGUCGUUGCAUUCGUUUCUAUCACGGGACUUUAACCUGCGUAUGCACAAGUCGUAAAAAUUCAGACGGAAAACCCAGCACGCCUUGAUCUCGUCUCUGUACGGUUCGAAGGAUUCAAUCUCCCUUUGCUAAUGGCUCAUGCAAUCCCGAUCUACAAGCUCCAUUACCUAACGCAUCGAGAAAUAUGCGUACCAGAGAUUCGAGGAAGCGCGCACCCAGCAACUUGGGAUCCCUCCAAGGAACUCCACCCGGACCAGGUCGACCCCACGGCCAGAGCGGUGCCAGCUAAGCACACGGCGUCAUAGCAUAUUAAGCAGUUUCCAAGAUUUUCAUGCCCGGAAUUUCGUGAACUCAUCGUCCUUGGCUUCUCGUGCAGCUUUUGCUUUGGUAAGUUGUUGGUAUGGAUAACAUGGUAACGUUACUUCAGGCGAGUGAAACAAAUUUCAUUCAGAAUUUCAGAUAAUACAAUGAAUUAUAACGUUCAGAUUGAAAUAACAGAGGAAUUUCAAAAGUAUUUCAUUUUCGUUAAAAAUAAAACAACCUUGAUUUUCGUCUGCUUCGUAUGAUUCUGUUAAUUUUUAAUCAGGAGAAGCUUUCUAGUAAGAAUAAAGCACGUUAAAUGGAUGGAAGGUAAGAUAUCGCUGGAAGAAAAAUGAGAUUAUUUGUUCUAAUGAAUUAGAAAAGUAUAAUUAAAUAUUUACUUGCAACGACAAAAUCGCUAGCACGAGAAUAAUAGGUUAAAUUAUUGAUGAUAAUUAACCGUGUCUACUUGAAAAGCUGGUUAUGAUUAAAACUGUAGGUUGAGAAUGAUUAAUUCAUGUCUUUGCAAAUUGUUGGCGCAUUUCACGCAUUAAUAUUAAAAUACUUAAUGAAAAAGCAAUGAACAUUUUCAAAAAUGCCAAGCGGUCGGUUGAUUAAAACUCUUUAAUUUAAUGCAAAAAUUGAGUGACUGUAAAAAAUCAAUUAAUAAAAUUUAAAUAUAUGAUUGAUUAAUAAAAAUCGGAACUUCGACGCGU
Molecule: unclassified non-coding RNA, 1184 nt
Filed under: Bombus terrestris (buff-tailed bumblebee)
Lineage: Eukaryota; Metazoa; Arthropoda; Insecta; Hymenoptera; Apidae
Description: misc RNA ENSBTSG00005038221.1
Source: RNAcentral